This 687-nucleotide long non-coding RNA is filed under the name Bemisia tabaci. RNAcentral's name for it is "lncRNA ENSSSA2NGG000635". Lineage: Eukaryota; Metazoa; Arthropoda; Insecta; Hemiptera; Aleyrodidae. The record is from RNAcentral.
AUGAGAUUAAUGCUGAUGGAUCACUUUCUUUUCUUUGUUUUUUUUUCGAAGUUACCAACGCUAUUGAACAUCCUGAAGAGGCUGAGCAAAACCCUAGGUACCGAGGGAGCAAUAUACCGUCUCGGGUUUUCAAAAUUCUUGACGAUAGUGUACCAAAAUCUUCCGGAAAUGAAGACUAUUCUCAAAACUCGCCUGUGCGCAGUGGGACACCGCAGUACGAACAAGCGAAUGGCCACUCCCGGCAGUUUGUUCCCGCAUCACAACAAGAGCAUGUUCAAGAGCCUAGAAAAUACACCGGAGGAACCAUCCCAUCCCGUUCAUUCCGCAUGUUGCAAGCCAUGACCGUCCAUAAUCCAGAUCGACCUGGCGAGUCCGAGUACUGAGAAUCUUUCAUUCAUUUCCUCUUUUAAUUCGAGCGUGGUUCAAGACUUCGGUAAAGAUUCGAGAAAUUAAACAUUAAAAAUGAAGAGCAUUUUCAUGUUAUGUGAUUAUUAUCCAUCACAUUUUGUACUUUAUUAUUUAUUUGUAAAAUUUAUUUUUCGUUUUUUUAGAAUGUAAAUUAAACGUAAUCACAUAUUUUCGUUAAAUUUGAUGUUUAUAAUAAAUAAAUAAAUUCAACAAACAAUCUACAGGUAUUUGUUUAUUUCAUUCCCUCCCGAAGCAAUAUUCGAUUAUUGCAUAGAAAUU